Molecule: non-coding RNA, 258 nt
Organism: Drosophila melanogaster (fruit fly)
Lineage: Eukaryota; Metazoa; Arthropoda; Insecta; Diptera; Drosophilidae
Source: Ensembl
UGGUUUCAGUGGUGCUAUUACUCUGGGCAGGUGCUGGCGAUCCGGACUGGUUGCGGAUCGCUUUGAUUGUUUGGACAUUUCCAUACACUGGUCAUGCGCCAUCGAUUGCCAGUUCUUACACAGGAAAAAAAAGCACAGACAUUUGCCACUGCGAUCUCAAUAAAACAAUGGCUGCGAACCGGAAUGGACCAGUGGGCCACGCUCCACACUCAAUUGAUCAACUGCCGCUUUGAAUAUAGAUUGGAUUGGCUUAAUAUU